GAUGAAGAACGCAGCGAAAUGCGAUAAGUAAUGUGAAUUGCAGAAUUCAGUGAAUCAUCGAGUCUUUGAACGCACAUUGCGCCCCCUGGUAUUCCGGGGGGCAUGCCUGUCCGAGCGUCAUUGCUGCCCUCAAGCACGGCUUGUGUGUUGGGCCCCCGUCCCCGGUUUCCCCCGGGGACGGGCCCGAAAGGCAGCGGCGGCACCGCGUCCGGUCCUCGAGCGUAUCGGGCUUUGUCACCCGCUCUGUAGGCCCGGCCGGCGCCAGCCGACACCCAACUUUAUUUCUAAGGUUGACCUCGGAUCAGGUAGGGAUACCCGCUGAACUUAAGCAUAUCAAUAAGCGGAGGA
This 348-nucleotide unclassified non-coding RNA is filed under the name soil metagenome. RNAcentral describes it as "partial contains 5.8S ribosomal RNA, internal transcribed spacer 2, and large subunit ribosomal RNA". The stretch from base 1 to 120 matches the Rfam family "5.8S ribosomal RNA", at positions 35 to 154 of the family's 154-position model. The record is from RNAcentral.